This 281-nucleotide long non-coding RNA is filed under the name Manihot esculenta (cassava). Its description in RNAcentral is "long non-coding RNA (MESC_LNC007868)". Lineage: Eukaryota; Viridiplantae; Streptophyta; Magnoliopsida; Malpighiales; Euphorbiaceae. The record is from RNAcentral.
AACACUUCAAUCACACACAAUCAAGCUACAUUGUUCAAAAAGUCAUCAAUAACCCAUAAACAUACACAUAACCUAAACAUGCAUUCUAACCCUUAGAUCUUGCAUAAAACUUAUUUAAAACAUAAUGAGAGUUCAAGAUCGACCCUUACCUCUUGAAGAUCGAGAGGAAAACGACCUUGACUCAAAGAUGGGAGGAUUGAGCUCCUUGAACCUCAAAGUACUUAAACGUGCUUAAAACUUGUAGAUCUUCAAAACAAAGUUAUAAACUUGUUAAAAACGUG